GUAGGCAGCAAGCGUUGUUCGGAGUUACUGGGCGUAAAGGGUGUGUAGGCGGUUAUUUAAGUUUGGUGUGAAAUCUCCCGGCUCAACCGGGAGGGUGCGCCGAAUACUGAAUGACUUGGAGUGCGGGAGAGGAAAGUGGAAUUCCUGGUGUAGCGGUGAAAUGCGUAGAUAUCAGGAGGAACACCGGUGGUGUAGACGGCUUUCUGGACCGUAACUGACGCUGAGACACGAAAGCGUGGGUAGCAAACAGGAUUAGAUACCCUGGUAGUCCACGCCCUAAACGAUGCAUAUUUGGUGUGGGCAGUUCAUUCUGUCCGUGCCGGAGCUAACGCGUUAAAUAUGCCGCCUGGGGAGUACAGUCGCAAGGCUG
This 370-nucleotide ribosomal RNA is filed under the name uncultured bacterium. RNAcentral's name for it is "bacterial SSU rRNA". It matches the Rfam family "Bacterial small subunit ribosomal RNA", at positions 527 to 896 of the family's 1533-position model. The record is from RNAcentral.